This is a non-coding RNA of Triticum urartu, 115 nucleotides long. NCBI's taxonomy places the organism in Eukaryota, Viridiplantae, Streptophyta, Magnoliopsida, Poales, Poaceae. The record is from Rfam.
UAAGUAGUCCCUCCGAUCCAAAUUACUUGUCGCUGAAAUAGAUGUAUCUAGAUGUAUUUCAGUGCUAGAUACAUUCCUUUGAGCGACAAGUAAUAUGGAUCGGAGGGAGUAUGUU